ACAUGCCUACAACAUAUCAUUAAUGCACUAGAUCCCAUUAGAACUCGACAAUUACACGCGCUCAGGCUAGAGUAGUAUUGGGAUGGGUGACCUCCCGGGAAGUCCUAGUAUUUUACAUGCC
Picea glauca (white spruce) is the source of this 121-nucleotide non-coding RNA. NCBI's taxonomy places the organism in Eukaryota, Viridiplantae, Streptophyta, Pinopsida, Pinales, Pinaceae. The record is from Rfam.